This 2938-nucleotide long non-coding RNA is filed under the name Sus scrofa (pig). RNAcentral's name for it is "lncRNA (ENSSSCG00025013255.1)". The record is from RNAcentral. Lineage: Eukaryota; Metazoa; Chordata; Mammalia; Artiodactyla; Suidae.
AUGGCAUGGUGGCUGGAUUCCAAGGCACAUGUCCCAAGUAAACAAGGUAGAAAUACAUUCAUGAUCUAGCCUCAGAAGUCACAUAACAUGACUCAGGCUGGGUUCUGUUGGUCAGAUAAUUUACUACAGGUUCUGAGAUUCAAGGUGAGUGGGCAUACCCUCUUACUCUUGGUGGGGAGUGCAAAAUUCUAGAUCAUCUAGGAUGGGAAACAUUGUGGUCAUCUUUGGAGAAUAUAGUAUGUUGUGUCUUAGUCCAUUUGGGCUGCUAUAACAAACUGCCAUGGAUUGUGUGGCAUAUUUACAGUAGAAAUUUAUUUCUCUGGAGCUGGCUAAUUCCAAGAUCAGGAUUGGGAGAGGACCCACUUCCCUGGUUCACGGACAGCCAUCUCCUCACUGUAACUUCGUGUGUGGCAGGGUGAGGGAGCAUUCUAAGGCCUCUUUUAUAAAAGUGCUAAUCCCUUAUGAGGGUUCUGCUUUCAUGACCUAAUCACCUCCAAAGGUCCCAUUUCUAAAUACCCUCACAUGGAGGAUUAGGCCUCAAGACAUGACAGGGUCAGGGGGUGGAUGUAAACAUUCAGUUUGGAGUUCCUGUCGUGGCUCAGUGGUUAAUGAAUCCAACUAGGAUCCAUGAGGUUGUGGGUUCGAUCCCCGGCCUUGCUCAGUGGGUUAAGGAUCUGGCGUUGCUGUGAGCUGUGGUGUAGGUCACAGACACAGCUUGGAUCCCAUGUUGCCGUGGCUGUGGUGUAGGCUGGUGGCUACAGUUCCGAUUAGACCCCUAGGCUGGGAACUUCCAUAUGCCACUGGUGUGGCCCUAGAAAAGACAAAAAACAAAAACAAAAACAUUGUUUAUAGCAUGCUGCACUAACGUUUUGUUUUCUAGGAACAUUCCAUUUAAUAGUUUUUCUUGUUACAUUCACUAAUGCAUUCCCAAGCCACCCAUUGAAGCUGUUAGUUUUUUUCUCAGUACCUUGGAACACUUGGGGUAAUUGCUUCCUCCCACUUUUUUUUUUUUUUUUUUUUUUUUUUUUCCCUUUUUUUGNAGCCACAGCAACUCCGGACCCAAGCUGCGUCUGCAACCUACACCAGAGCAACGCCAGAUCCUUAACUCAUUGAGCAAGGCCAGGGAUCAAACCCAUAACCUCAUGUUUCCUAGUUGGAUUCGCUAACCACUGAGCCAUGAUGGGAACUCCCUCCCACUCUUUUUGAGGCCUUCAUGCCAGUGCCUUCAGUCCUCUUUGCCAGUGUAGACUGGUUGCUCUGUAUACCUGUUACACAGCUGUUGUUCCAAGUUCUUGCUUCUCCAUCAUUCUGGGAAUUCUGUUCACUUAUUUUUGCACUGAAUCCCUCAUUUUCUGGACCCAGUGCUUCCGAUUGUUGCUUUAUUCUCCCGUUUUGGUGACGUAUAUCACUCAGAAGUCUCCUGAGAAAGGGUGUAUUGUGGGAUGUAUGUGGCCCCCAAGCUUAUGUGUACAGCCUAAGCCUCAGAAUCAGUGAAUAUUUCCUGAUUUGGAAAAAAAAAAAAAUGGGUCUUGGCACAUAUGACUAAGUUACAGAUCUAAGAUGAGGUUAUCCUUAACUUUCUAGGUCCAAAGUCAAGUGAGAAAUGUUCUUCUCAAAGACAGAAGAGGAGAAAAAAAUGUUCUUCUCAAAGACAGAAGAGGAGAAGACAAAGGAACAGAGAAGAGGACCUUGUGAAGAUGGAGGAAGAAACUGGAGAGAUGCAGCCAGAAGGAAUAUUGACGGCCAAGAGGAGCUGGAAGAAACAAGGAAGGAUUCUCCCUGAGAGCCUCCAGAAGGAGUGUGGCCUGCUGAUACCUCAGUUUCACACUUCUGACUUGCAGAAUUGCAAGAGAAUACAUUUCUGUUCUUCGAAGCCACCAGGAUCUGGAAAGAUUUAAUGUGGUAAUUUGAAGACCAUCUCAGGGCUUCUACAAAACUUAAGUGUCUUGUUCCAACCUGACAAGCCCAAAGUAAAAAGAGAGUUCUGUUUUUAAAAAGAAUAAUCAAUGUGAAUUUUGGAGCAUGGAGUUAGCCUCAUUAAGAUUUAUAGAAAUCCAAAAGUUUUUGAGAAAAUUGGAUAUAAAUUUUAGAGCACGAAAUGAACCUCAGUAAGAUUUAUAGAAAACCUAUAAAAUGUUUUUUUCUUUUUUCAGCUACACCCGUGUUAUAUGGAGGUUCCCAGGCUAGGGGUUGAUUUGGGCCACAGCCACAGCAAUGCAGGAUCCGAGCCACGUCUUCCAUCUACACCACAGCUCAUGGCAACACCAGAUCCUUAACCCACUGUUCAAGGCCAGGGAUUGAACCCACAACCUUCUGGUUCGUAGUUGGAUUCGUUUCCGCUGCGCCAUGAUGGUAACUCCAAAAUCCUACAAAAUCUUAAGGAUAAUUGUAUGAAUGAAUGAGCUGUCAGGUUGCCAGUUCAAAAUGAAAAGACAUUUCUGGACAUUUGAGUUUCUACUGGCAUGAAAGAGAUUGAGAAAACUACUUAACUACAAAUAUGGACCAUUCCUUAAGGAAAGCCAUCUCAGAGAGUGGAGUCAAGAGUGGGGAGAAGCAAAGCCAAAAACUGAUGAGAUGAUGCAUUAAAACAAGAAUUGGCAAACUAGGGCCCAUAAAACCAAUCCAGGCUGUUGUUGCAUAAGCCCACAUGCUAAGAGACCUGGCAACUUUAGCUUUUGUUUCUUGAGAGCCACCUGCCAUUACUAUCUGAUGUAAAGAGGAAAACCUGGCAGAUGAGUGUCCAAGGGACAGAGAGACCCAGCCUGCUCUCAGCCAUUCCAGCAACCCCAGUGGAGGCACCAGCCCAGUGAGUGAAAUUCCUUUCCAUCGUACCACUUCAGCUGAGCUGCCCCACCCAACAUCACGGAGUAGAGACAAGCUGUUCUGAGUCCUGUCCAAAUUACAAAACCAUGAGCAAAUAAAUGGUUGUUUAUGUUUG